UAUCUCUGUAGAGUCUGCAUAUCAAUAAGCGGAGGAAAAGAAACUAACAAGGAUUCCCUUAGUAACGGCGAGUGAAGCGGGAAGAGCUCAAAUUUGAAAUCUUCAAGGUUUCUACCUUGACGAAUUGUAGUUUAAAGAAGUGUUUUCUGUUAGAUGUUUGGUAGCAAAAGUUCCUUGGAAUAGGGACAUCAUAGAGGGUGAGAAUCCCGUAUUUGACCUAUUACUUCCUAGCUUUGUGAUACACUUUCAAAGAGUCGGAUUGUUUGGGAAUGCAGUCCAAAAUGGGUGGUAAAUUUCAUCUAAAGCUAAAUAUUGGCGAGAGACCGAUAGCGAACAAGUACCGUGAGGGAAAGAUGAAAAGAACUUUGAAAAGAGAGUUAAACAGUACGCGAAAUUGUCAAAAGGGAAGCGUUUGACACCAGUGUUGUUUUUCCAAAAAUCAAUUACGAAUGGCUUGAUUUUGUGUUGUAUUGACCUUAUCAGCUUUCUGCACUUUUUUCGAGUCUUUCUUAAUGCACUUUUCGGUUAACAAGUCAACAUCAAUUUCUUUUGUUGUAAAAGAGUAUUCGGAAGGUGGCUUUCUUUUCGGAGAGAGUGUUUAUAGCCCUAUACUUCUACAAUCGGAGAGAUUGAGGUCUGCAGCGUAGAUCCUUCGGGGUUAGAUACACUUGUGCUAAGUUAUAGCUUUUCAUAGACAACUUGUUGACUAUGAUUUAGUCAUGUCGCUUACUCGCUUAUGCUAUUUUACCUACGCUUAGGAUGUUGAAGAUGUAGCACAUCAU
This 782-nucleotide ribosomal RNA is filed under the name uncultured Neocallimastigales. RNAcentral describes it as "partial large subunit ribosomal RNA". It matches the Rfam family "Eukaryotic large subunit ribosomal RNA", at positions 24 to 643 of the family's 3401-position model. Lineage: Eukaryota; Fungi; Neocallimastigomycota; Neocallimastigomycetes; Neocallimastigales. The record is from RNAcentral.